Molecule: small nuclear RNA, 18 nt
Filed under: Arabidopsis thaliana (thale cress)
Lineage: Eukaryota; Viridiplantae; Streptophyta; Magnoliopsida; Brassicales; Brassicaceae
Description: snRNA_17978
Source: RNAcentral
GUGUCAGAAAAGUUACCA